GACGAACGCUGGCGGCGGGCUUAACACAUGCAAGUCGAACGAAGUGGCGAAAGGGUGAGUAACGCGUAAUCAACCUGCCCUUCAGAGGGGGACAACAGUUGGAAACGACUGCUAAUACCGCAUAAGGAAGGAGGGGGUGGCGUCUGAUUAGCUAGUUGGAGGGGUAACGGCCCACCAAGGCGAUGACCAGUAGCCGGUCUGAGAGGAGGAACGGCCACACUGGGACUGAGACACGGUCCAGACUCCUACGGGAGGCAGCAGUAGGGAAUCUUCCGCAAUGGGCGAAAGCCUGACGGAGCCACGCCGCGUGAGUGAUGAAGGUCUUCGGAUCGUAAAACUCUUUUAUUAGGGAAGCGGUACCUAAUCAGAAAGCCACGGCUAACUACGUGCCAGCAGCCGCGGUAAUUC
This 408-nucleotide ribosomal RNA is filed under the name uncultured bacterium. RNAcentral describes it as "partial 16S ribosomal RNA". It matches the Rfam family "Bacterial small subunit ribosomal RNA", at positions 28 to 526 of the family's 1533-position model. The record is from RNAcentral.